UGGCCUACGGGGGGCAGCAGUGGGGAGUAUUGCACAAUGGGGGAAACCCUGAUGCAGCGACGCCGCGUGGGCGAGGAAGUACCUCGGUAUGUAAAGCCCUAUCAGCAGGGAAGAAACAGGACAGUACCUGACUAAGAAGCCCCGGCUAACUACGUGCCAGCAGCCGCGGUAAUACGUAGGGGGCAAGCGUUAUCCGGAUUUACUGGGUGUAAAGGGAGCGUAGACGGCGAUGCAAGUCUGAAGUGAAAGGCGGGGGCCCAACCCCCGGACUGCUUUGGAAACUGUAUGGCUGAAGUGCAGGAGAG
RNAcentral lists this ribosomal RNA (305 nucleotides) under uncultured bacterium. RNAcentral describes it as "bacterial SSU rRNA". It matches the Rfam family "Bacterial small subunit ribosomal RNA", at positions 335 to 656 of the family's 1533-position model. The record is from RNAcentral.